AGCGAACGCUGGCGGCAGGCCUAACACAUGCAAGUCGAACGAACUCUUCGGAGUUAGUGGCGGACGGGUGAGUAACACGUGGGAACGUGCCUUUUGGUUCGGAAUAACUCAGGGAAACUUGUGCUAAUACCGAAUGUGCCCUUCGGGGGAAAGAUUUAUCGCCAUUAGGGCGGCCCGCGUCUGAUUAGCUAGUUGGGGAGGUAACGGCUCACCAAGGCGACGAUCAGUAGCUGGUCUGAGAGGAUGACCAGCCACACUGGGACUGAGACACGGCCCAGACUCCUACGGGAGGCAGCAGUGGGGAAUCUUGCGCAAUGGGCGAAAGCCUGACGCAGCCAUGCCGCGUGAAUGAUGAAGGUCUUAGGAUUGUAAAAUUCUUUCACCGGGGACGAUAAUGACGGUACCCGGAGAAGAAGCCCCGGCUAACUUCGUG
This 433-nucleotide ribosomal RNA is filed under the name uncultured bacterium. RNAcentral describes it as "partial 16S ribosomal RNA". It matches the Rfam family "Bacterial small subunit ribosomal RNA", at positions 29 to 507 of the family's 1533-position model. The record is from RNAcentral.